CCUACGGGUGGCAGCAGUGGGGAAUAUUGGACAAUGGGCGAAAGCCUGAUCCAGCCAUGCCGCGUGUGUGAAGAAGGCCUUCGGGUUGUAAAGCACUUUCAGUGGGGAAGAAAGCCUUGGGGCUAAUACCCUCGAGGAAGGACAUCACCCACAGAAGAAGCACCGGCUAACUCCGUGCCAGCAGCCGCGGUAAUACGGGGGUGCGAGCGUUAAUCGGAAUUACUGGGCGUAAAGCGCGCGUAGGCGGUCUGAUAAGCCGGUUGUGAAAGCCCCGGGCUCAACCUGGGAACGGCAUCCGGAACUGUCAGGCUAGAGUGCAGGAGAGGAAGGUAGAAUUCCCGGUGUAGCGGUGAAAUGCGUAGAGAUCGGGAGGAAUACCAGUGGCGAAGGCGGCCUUCUGGACUGACACUGACGCUGAGGUGCGAAAGCGUGGGUAGCAAACAGGAUUAGAUACCCCGGUAGUC
This 464-nucleotide ribosomal RNA is filed under the name Vreelandella stevensii. RNAcentral's name for it is "partial 16S ribosomal RNA". It matches the Rfam family "Bacterial small subunit ribosomal RNA", at positions 338 to 795 of the family's 1533-position model. The record is from RNAcentral. Lineage: Bacteria; Pseudomonadati; Pseudomonadota; Gammaproteobacteria; Oceanospirillales; Halomonadaceae.